CAUGGACAGUCGACGGUAGCACAGAGAGCUUGCUCUUGGGUGACGAGUGGCGGACGGGUCAUUUAUGUCUGGGAAACUGCCCGAUGGAGGGGGAUAACUACUGGAAACGGUAGCUAAUACCGCAUAACGUCGCAAGACCAAAGUGGGGGACCUUCGGGCCUCACACCAUCGGAUGUGCCCAGAUGGGAUUAGCUAGUUGGUGAGGUAAUAGCUCACCAAGGCGACGAUCCCUAGCUGGUCUGAGAGGAUGACCAGCCACACUGGAGCUGAGACACGGUCCAGACUCCUACGGGAGGCAGCAGUGGGGAAUAUUGCACAAUGGGCGCAAGCCUGAUGCAGCCAUGCCGCGUGUAUGAAGAAGGCCUUCGGGUUGUAAAGUACUUUCAGCGAGGAGGAAGGCAUUGUGGCUAAUAACCGCAGUGAUUGACGUUACUCGCAGAAGAAGCAAUCACU
RNAcentral lists this ribosomal RNA (453 nucleotides) under uncultured bacterium. RNAcentral's name for it is "bacterial SSU rRNA". It matches the Rfam family "Bacterial small subunit ribosomal RNA", at positions 54 to 498 of the family's 1533-position model. The record is from RNAcentral.